AACAACAUACUCGAAACCAAAUGAUCUAACCAUGAACAGAAUGAAGCUAAACUAAACAUUUAGUGGAGGUUCGAACUAAUUGGUGGUGCAAAAUCAUUGGAUGAUUUGUGGUUAGAGGUGAAAUUCCAUUCGAAUUUGGAUAUAGCUAGUUCUUCCUGAAAUAUGUUUUAGCAUAGCUGUUUUUUUUUAUUUAUAAGGUAUGAUUUUAUUUUUAAAAUAGGGUUUAGAAUUUGUAAAUUUAUAUAAAGAAGCAAGUCGGACUAUAAGGGUUAAGCUCUAUAGUCAAAAGGGAAACAGCCCAGAUUUGUAACUAAGGUUUAAAAAUGAGUUUUAAGUGAUUAAAGAAGUUAUUUACUAAGACAAUUAAAAAGUUGGCUUGGAAGCAGCCAUUCUUCUAAUAAGUGCGUAGUAGCUUAUUAAUUGAGAUAAUAAUUUUCGAGUAUACAAUAUAAACUAAAAAUUCUACCGAAGUUCAAGAAUGGUAUUUUUUUAUACCAUUGGUAAGGAAGCUUUUUAUUUUAUAAAAUAAAAGAGAUAUUAUUGGUUUUAGUAGCGAAAAUAUUAAUUUUUUAAUACUCCGAAAACCUAAGGGUUCUUAAAAAAUAUUUUUAAGGUUAUUCAAUUUACUAAUAUAAACUUUAAAUUUGUUUAUAGAUGUGCUAUAGUUUAAUUUUACUAUAAAAUUUUAUAUUGAUUUUUAAUUUUAUAUAUAAUACUAAAAAAUCUUAUAUUAAUUAUUAUAUUAUUUUUUUAGUAUAUUUUAUUUUUACUGGAAAAUUUAUAAAAAUAGAUAUAAAUUUAAUUGUACCUUAGUCUUACAAAAGUAGGUUGGUGUUUUUUGUACCAAGGAGUUUUCGAAAUAAAUCUUUUUAAGGAACUCGGCAAAUUUACUACGUAACUUAGGGAUAAGUAGUUUCAUUUUAUAAUAGAAUGAUUAUAGAUAAAAGACCCAGACGACUGUUUAACAAAAACAUAGGUUUCCGCUAAAUUAAAAGUUUUGUAUGGAAGUUGAUGCCUGCCCGGUUUUGUAAAUAUAAUUAAGUAUUGUUAUAUAAGCUUUAUUUAAAAAAAGCAUUAAACGGCGGCCGUAAAUGUAACGGUCCUAAGGUAGCGAAAUCCGUUGUCGGGUAAAUUCCGACCAGUAUGAAAGGCUUAACGAUUUGGGUACUGUCUCAAAAAGAUUUUCGGCGAAUUAUUAUAAGCCUGUGAAGAUACAGGUUUUUCUUACCAGGACGGAAAGACCCUAUGAAACUUUACUGUUUUUAAAAGUUGUUUUAGUAGCUAAAAUAUAAAAUGAGAGCUUUUAAAAAUAAAGCGUUUGAAUCUUUUUGUUUUUCUUCUAUAACUAAUCAUGCCCGUAAUAAGUAAUGAAACAUCUUUUAUUAGACAGUUUAUAUGGGGCGUAGGCCUCUGAUAUAGUAACGGAGGCGAACAAAGGUUCUAGCGCACGAAAAAUGUUUACAAAAUUAAGGUUCUAUCAGAGCUUUACUGUGUGACUUACAAGUCUAACAGAAACUAAAGUUGGUCCUAAUGAUCCGGUAUAACUUUGUGGUAUAGUUUAUCGUUUAUCGAAUAAAAGUUACUCUAGGGAUAACAGGCUAAUCUUAAAAUAGAACAUUCAUUUGUUUUAAGGUUUGGCACCUCGAUGUCGGCUUAUUACAACCUAAAGCUAUAAGGGGUUUUAAGGGUUGGGUUGUUCACCCAUUAAAGUAAUACUUGAGCUGGGUUCAGAACGUCGUGAGACAGUUCGGUCCAUAUCCGGUAGGAAUGUUGGAACAUUGAAAUAAUUUUAUUCGGUACGUGAGGAGCAGUAAAAGUGUACCUAUGGUUUAUUUUUUAUUUUUUAUAAAGUAUUUGAAAAUCAGCUAAGUACAUCAAAAGUAUACAUUGAAAGAAUAAAA
RNAcentral lists this ribosomal RNA (1901 nucleotides) under Pilostyles aethiopica. RNAcentral describes it as "23S ribosomal RNA". It matches the Rfam family "Bacterial large subunit ribosomal RNA", at positions 705 to 2784 of the family's 2925-position model. Lineage: Eukaryota; Viridiplantae; Streptophyta; Magnoliopsida; Cucurbitales; Apodanthaceae. The record is from RNAcentral.